This 143-nucleotide ribosomal RNA is filed under the name uncultured bacterium. Its description in RNAcentral is "partial 16S rRNA". It matches the Rfam family "Bacterial small subunit ribosomal RNA", at positions 372 to 507 of the family's 1533-position model. The record is from RNAcentral.
UGGACGCAGCCUGAUGGAGCAACGCCGCGUGAACGAUGAAGGUCUUCGGAUUGUAAAGUUCUGUCGUCAGGGACGAAUUCGUACCGUUCGAACAGGGCGGUGCCUUGACGGUACCUGACUAGAAAGCCACGGCUAACUACGUG